CUACUUUCUAAAUAGAAGUAAUCCCAAAAUUAAAUGGCCGCAGUAUACCUGACUGUGUUAAGGUAGCACAAUCAAUCGCCGCUUAAUUGGCGGAUAGUAUGAAUGGUAAUACGAAGAUUUCACUGUCUUAAAUAUAGACUACAUGAAAUUGAAAUAAUAGUCAAGAUGCUAUUUUAAAUCGUAAGACGAUAAGACCCUAUAAAGCUUAACUAUAAUUUAUUAUCCUAAUCUACAUUAAUUUCAUAUGUAAUUAUUUUGAUAAACUGGUAGUUUACUUGGGGCAAGGACUUUUUAAAAUAAAAGAAAGUACGCAAAUGUAAUUUAAAUAACUUACUUAUUAUAUAAAAUAUCAUUUUAAUAAUCACAAAUGUGUGCAAUAAUGACCCGUUUAUACUGUAAAAAAAGUUAAACAAUUAUUAAAUAAUAGCUACUUUAGGGAUAACAGGAUAAUUUUAUCUCAGAGCCCUCAUCCAAGAUAAAGUUUGUCACCUCGAUGUUGAAUUAAGAUAUCCUAGCGGUGCAGAAGUUGCUAAAGGUAGGUCUGUUCGACCUUUAAAUAUCUUACAUGAUUUGA
Molecule: ribosomal RNA, 574 nt
Filed under: Nemertesia octoseriata
Lineage: Eukaryota; Metazoa; Cnidaria; Hydrozoa; Leptothecata; Plumulariidae
Description: partial 16S ribosomal RNA
Rfam family: Bacterial large subunit ribosomal RNA
Source: RNAcentral